This 152-nucleotide transfer RNA is filed under the name Dipodomys ordii (Ord's kangaroo rat). It matches the Rfam family "tRNA". Rfam says of the family: Transfer RNA (tRNA) molecules are approximately 80 nucleotides in length. Their secondary structure includes four short double-helical elements and three loops (D, anti-codon, and T loops). Further hydrogen bonds mediate the characteristic L-shaped molecular structure. tRNAs have two regions of fundamental functional importance: the anti-codon, which is responsible for specific mRNA codon recognition, and the 3' end, to which the tRNAs corresponding amino acid is attached (by aminoacyl-tRNA synthetases). tRNAs cope with the degeneracy of the genetic code in two manners: having more than one tRNA (with a specific anti-codon) for a particular amino acid; and 'wobble' base-pairing, i.e. permitting non-standard base-pairing at the 3rd anti-codon position. Lineage: Eukaryota; Metazoa; Chordata; Mammalia; Rodentia; Heteromyidae. The record is from Rfam by way of RNAcentral.
GGUGCUGUGGCUCAAGUGGUAGAGCGCUAGCCUUGAGCUGAAGAGCUGAGGGACAGCGCCCAGGCCCAGAGUUCAGGCCCCAUGAACAACAACAACAAAAAAAGUGCCUGCUAGCACGUGUGAAGCCCUGGGUUCAAACCCCAGCAGCAUUA